Molecule: ribosomal RNA, 490 nt
Filed under: uncultured bacterium
Lineage: Bacteria
Description: partial 16S ribosomal RNA
Rfam family: Bacterial small subunit ribosomal RNA
Source: RNAcentral
AUUGAACGCUGGCGGCAGGCCUAACACAUGCAAGUCGAACGGUAACAGGGAUCAGCUUGCUGAUUCGCUGACGAGUGGCGGACGGGUGAGUAAUGUCUGGGAAACUGCCUGAUGGAGGGGGAUAACUACUGGAAACGGUAGCUAAUACCGCAUAACGUCGCAAGACCAAAGAGGGGGACCUUCGGGCCUCUUGCCAUCGGAUGUGCCCAGAUGGGAUUAGCUAGUAGGUGGGGUAACGGCUCACCUAGGCGACGAUCCCUAGCUGGUCUGAGAGGAUGACCAGCCACACUGGAACUGAGACACGGUCCAGACUCCUACGGGAGGCAGCAGUGGGGAAUAUUGUACAAUGGGCGCAAGCCUGAUGCAGCCAUGCCGCGUGUAUGAAGAAGGCCUUCGGGUUGUAAAGUACUUUCAGCGGGGAGGAAGGGAGUAAAGUUAAUACCUUUGCUCAUUGACGUUACCCGAAGAAGAAGCACCGGCUAACUCCGUG